Molecule: ribosomal RNA, 403 nt
Filed under: uncultured soil bacterium
Lineage: Bacteria
Description: bacterial SSU rRNA
Rfam family: Bacterial small subunit ribosomal RNA
Source: RNAcentral
CCUGGCUUGACAAUACUACUGACCGACAUGAAACAAUGUCUUCCCUUCGGGCAAGCAAUACAGGUGGUGCAUGGCUGUCGUCAAGCUCGUGUCGUGAGAUGUUGGGUUGAGUCCCGCAACGAGCGCAACCCCCGUCCUAUGUUGCCAGCAUUCAGUUGGGGACUCAUAGGAGACUGCCGGUGACAAACCGGAGGAAGGUGGGGAUGACGUCAAGUCAUCAUGCCCCUUAUGUCCAGGGCUUCACACGUGCUACAUUGGCGCAUACAGAGGGCUGCGAUACCGNCAAGGUGGAGCGAAUCCCAAAAAGUGCGUCUCGGUUCGGAUUGGGGGCUGAAACUCGCCCCCAUGAAGGCGGAGUUGCUAGUAAUCCCGGAUCAGCAAUGCCGGGGUGAAUACGUUNCCC